This 390-nucleotide unclassified non-coding RNA is filed under the name soil metagenome. Its description in RNAcentral is "partial contains 5.8S ribosomal RNA, internal transcribed spacer 2, and large subunit ribosomal RNA". The stretch from base 1 to 121 matches the Rfam family "5.8S ribosomal RNA", at positions 35 to 154 of the family's 154-position model. The record is from RNAcentral.
GAUGAAGAACGCAGCGAAAUGCGAUAAGUAAUGUGAAUUGCAGAAUUCAGUGAAUCAUCGAAUCUUUGAACGCACCUUGCGCUCUUUGGCCAUUCCAAGGAGCAUGCCUGUUUGAGUGUCAUUGAAUCCUCAAGGGCCCCCUUUCUUCCGAGGGGGGGACUUUGGACUUGGGAGCGCUGCGGCCUCCGGGCUUUCCCCCGGCUCCGCUCUCCUCAAACGCAUCAGUAGGGCCCCUCAUCCCUUCGGGUCUUUUGCGGCGUUGAUAGUCGUCUACGCCUCUGCCCCGUCGGGUCUCACCUGCUCCUCAACCCCACAUUCUCCUUUUGAACGCUUUGACCUCAAAUCAGGUAGGACUACCCGCUGAACUUAAGCAUAUCAAUAAGCGGAGGA